Non-coding RNA from Marasmius sp. AFHP31, 92 nucleotides. NCBI's taxonomy places the organism in Eukaryota, Fungi, Basidiomycota, Agaricomycetes, Agaricales, Marasmiaceae. The record is from the annotation of a GenBank genome assembly.
UCCCUCUUAGCUCAGUGGUAGAGCGCUUCACUAGUAUAGAAUCCUACGUUCCAAAUAUGAAGAGGUCAGUCGUUCAAGUCGGCUAGAGGGAA